UAAGGAAAUCACCUUUCUGGUCUUAGUCUCCCCAUCUGAAAAUGGCAUAACCAACCUACCUGCCUCAAAUACAAGACCCUGCUUGUGAAGCGUCUCCUGGCUCAGACCAGUGCUAGAAGUGUCCAGUCUAGCAGCUCCUGGACCAAGACUCCGUGGCCAUUCCCUUCCUCCUGCCUUCCAUCCACCCCCUUACGGUCAGAGCUCCGAAGGCAGCGUGGUGACGGGUGCGGGGAGGGGAGUGGGGGGAUCUCUCUGAGAUACUUCUGCCUUGGGGUCACUGGAUCAUUCAUUCGACAAACAUCCGCGAGCAAGUCAGGAACUAGGAGUCAUCCUUGCCACCUCCCUCUCCCUCGCUGCCUAUAUUAAAAUACACCUCCAUUUCCUGUCGAUUCUCUUUCCUAAAUAUCUUUCCAGUCCACCAUUCCUUCCGUUUGCCCCACCACCUCCCGCCUGGGCUCCUAAUGCAGUAACCUUCUAUCUGGUUUUCUUUUCUUUUUUUUUUUUUUUUUGAGACGGAGUCUCGCUCUGUUGCCCAGGCCGGACUGCGGACUGCAAUGGCGCAAUCUCGGCUCACUGCAAGCUCCGCUUCCUGGGUUCACGCCAUUCUCCUGCCUCAGCCUCCCGAGUAGCUGGGACUACAGGCGCCCGCCACCGCACCCGGCUAAUUUUUUGUAUUUUUAGUAGAGACGGGGUUUCACCUUGUUAGCCAGGAUGGUCUCGAUCUCCUGACCUCGUGAUCCACCCGCCUCGGCCUCCCAAAGUGCUGGGAUUACAGGCGUGAGCCACCGCGCCCGGCCCUAUCUGGUUUUCUUGUACUCAUUCUGGCCCGGCUACACUCCAUUCCCUGCAUUACAAGUCAGCUGUCAUUUCAGAACACAAGUCUGGUGUGCCCCCCUCGACCCCCCCGCCACGCGGCGUUGCCUAAAUUCCUCCACUGUUAGAAUAAAAUCUGGACGCUGAUAUCUGAGCUAAGUCUUGAAGACAUGAGUUCAACAAGCAGAAAAGAGGGAGAAGGGCAUGUGCAGAGGGAGGGAAGUGUGAACAAAUCAUUGACACAUUCAGGUUUCCCUGUCAGGGGACCAGCACUCUGUACACUAAAGCACUGCCUCUUAACAUUAUUGGGAUCUCAAAACAACCCUGUGAGAUAAAUACAGCAUGCAAUUUUCCCACUAGUUUACAAGCAUGGAAACUAGUUUGUGGGAGGCAACAAAUGCAAUGGUUAAGAGCACAGGCAAUACAGUCAGACCCUCUUGGGUUGUAAACCUAUUGAUUCCUCUAGCCAGCUGGGUAAACACUUCUCUGAUCCUUGAUCUCUUACCUACUAAAGAGGAAUAAUUAAUCCCUCCCUCUUAUAAGAUAAUUUAUAUAAAAUGGUUAGUUACAGGACUUGGGCACUUUGGAAAUGCUCAGUAAUCGUUAGCUGUUUUGAUGGUAAUGGGUUCUGAGAAAGGGAGGGAACUGCUGUCUUCCACAAAUUUCUGAAAUUAUAGGAAGUAAGCCCUAAUUGUUAACACUUCCACAGAGCUUAUUAUGUGCCAGUCACUAUUAUAAGUGCUUUACAAAAAUUAACCCUUUUAAUCCUCUUGCUGUUUCCACUUUACAGAUACAGAAGUUGAGAUACAGAGAGGUGAAGGAACUUGUCCCAGGCCCUACAGCUAGUAAGUGAUGGACCUGGAAUUUAAGCCCAGGUAGACUGCCUCUAGAGACUGUGCUUACAACCCUUUUAUCCUGUGCCUGUUCCCCUUUUAUCCUGUUGUAGUUUUCAUCUUCUAAGAACUAUUUCAUUGGGUUGGUUUGAUUCUUAUUUCUCAUUAAUGGAUAGAGUAGAUACUUCAUCUAAUUUUCUAGCACAGAAAAUGAGGGCCAAGUCAGGAGUACAGUGGAUAAGAGCUUAGCUCACUCCCAGUCAUGUCCCCAUUUUCAGAGAUGUAUCCCUUUUUUUUUUUGACAGAGUCUUGCUCUGUUGCCCAGGCUGGAGUGCAGUGGCACCAUCUCAGCUCACUGCAACCUCCACCUCCUGGAUUCAAGCAAUUCUCCCACCUCAGCCUCCUGAGUAGCUGGAAUUACAGGUGCACUCCACUAUGCCUGGCUAAUUUUUCUAUUUUUGGUAGAGGGGGGUUUUUGCCCUGUUGGCCAGGCUGGUCUUGAACUCCUGGCCUCAAGUGAUCUGCCCACCUCAGCCUCCCAAAGUGCUGGGAUUAUAGGCGUGAGCCACUGCGCCUGGCCCAGAUGUAUCCUUCAGAACACGACUCCAUGGAUUAUUUUGAGCCCAAGAUGAAGAAAGAUCAGGAACCUCUGUCCCUUCUCUUUGUCAGAUAUUUGCCAUAAAGAAGGAAUGGAGAGGGGGAAACAUCUAACCUGAAAAUAUUUCAGGGGGCUAAACUGGAAGGGUGUCACCCAAAAGAAAGACCCAAGCAGCAGGCCAGGAGUAGGUGGCCAAAACGUUGAAUAGCACCGUGAAAAGGUAGACGGCUUGAGACUCCGGCUUCCAUCUAGGAUGCAGAAACCUGGGAAGAGCAUCAUUAUCAAACUAAUAACAGUUUUUAAAAAUUGUUGGGUAAUUUACAAAAUCACAACUUUUGUCAAACUUAUCAGAGACCUAAGGUUGCAGAGCAACCAAUUAACCAGCAUUCCAAAGAAGGACAGGAGCCUCCAGGAAGUGACGGGAUGCAGGCACUCACUCAGUUGUGUAGCAAGAGAAAGACAAGCUCUCCUUACAAGUAGGUUAGAAGAGUUCAGCUAAUGUUUAUGUUUUUAUUUUUCAGAGACAAGGUCUCACACUGUCCAGAGGCUGAAGCACAGUAGUGCAGUCAUGACUCACUAAGCUCAAGGUAUCCUCCCACUUCAGUCUCCCAAGUAUCUAGGACUACAAAUGCACAUCACCACACAUGGCUAAUUUUAUUUUAUUAUUAUUAUUAUUUUUUGUUAGAGAUAGGGUCUUGCUAUGUUGUCUAAGCUGGUCUCAAACUCCUGGCCUCAAGUGAUCCUCCUGCUCCAGCCUCUCAAAGUGCUGGGAUUAUGGGUGUAAGCCAACAUGCCAGGCCAAAAUUUUUAUGGAAUUACUAAAGACCCAAUAUAGCUAGCAUGACUACAUAAAAUUUGUAGGAGAUAUAGACACUGAAGUAAUCAUAGAAACAACAAAACUCAAACCUAAUUCAACUCCUGAAAAAACUGACUGAAUCCCCCACACUAAUGGCCUAAGAGAAGAAGAGAUACGACAAUUUCCAGGCAUAAAUAAUAAUGAACUCAGUCCUUACUAUUAUAAGCACUGUGUCCAAAAUUCAAUAAAAAAUUACAACACAGGCUGGGUGCAGUGGCUCACGCCUCUAAUCUCAACACUUUGGGAGGCCAAGGUGGAUGGAUCACCUGAUGUCAGGAGUUCAAGACCAGCCUGGCCAACACAGUGAAAUCCCAUCUUUACUGAAAAUACAAAAAUUAGCUGGGCAUGGUGGUGGGUGCCUGCAAUCCCAGCUAUUUGGGAGGCUCAGGCAGGAGAAUCGCUUGAACCUGGGAAGCAGAGGUUGCAGUGAGCCAAGAUCGCACCAUUGCACUCCAGUCUGGUUGGCAAAAGUGAAACUCUAUCUCAAAAACAAACAAACAAAAAUUACAACGCACACACACACACACAACUUUUAAAAUACCAAAAAAACCUACUGUCAAGAGACAAAGCAGUCCAGGUGUGGUGGCUUAUACCUAUAAUCCAGCACUUUGGAAUGCCAAGGCAGAUGGAAUGCUUGAGGCCAGGAGUCUGAAGACCAGUCUGGGCAAUAUCGUAAGGCCCUGUUUCUAUAUUAAAGAGAGAAAGAGAGAAAGAGAAAGAGAGAGAGAGAGAAAGCAAGACCAGGUGCAAGAUGCAGAUGCUGUAAUUAUCUGACACAGAACUUAAGACAACUAUAAGUAAUACGUGAAUAUGAAAGGCUCUUGUGGAAAAUGUAGACAAUAUGAAAGAACAAAAGGGGAAUUUUUGCAGAAAUAUGAAGACUACAAAAAAAGAGACAUAGAGAAAUGCUAGAAAUAAGAAAAAACACAUACAUAUAACAGAUUUGAAGAAUGCUGUUGACAGGCUUAUCAGUAUACUAGUCCUUUCUCACGCUACUACAAAGACACACCUGAGACUGGGUAAUUUAUAAAUGAGAGAUGUUUAAUUAACUCACAGUUCCACAGGGCUGGGGAGGCCUUAGGAAACUUACAAUCAUGGCAGAAGGGGAAGCAAACACGUCCUUCUUCGCAUGGCAGCAGCAAGAAGUGCCCAGCGAAGGGGGAAGCCCCUUAUAAAACCAUCAGAUCUCAUGAGAAGUAACUCACUAUCACAAGAAAAGGAUGGGGGAAACCACCCCCAUGAUUCAACUGUCUUCACCUGGUCCUUUCCAUGACAUGUGGGGAUUAUGGGAACCACAAUUCAAGAUGAGAUUUGGGUGGGGACACAGUCAAACCAUAUAAUUUUGCCCCAGCCCCUCCCAAAUCUCAUGUCCUCACAAUUCAAAACACAAUUAUGUGCUUCCAACAGUCCUCCAAAGUCUUAACUCAUUCCAGUAUUAACCCAAAAGUCCAAGUCCAAAGACUCUUCUGAGACAAGGCAAGUCCCUUCCACCUAAGAGCCUGUAAAAUCAAAAGCAAGUUAAUUACUUCCUAGAUAUAAUGGGGUUAUAGGCAUUGGGUAAAUACCCUCAUUCUAAAUAGGAGAAAUUGAAGGGGUAAAUUGGCCCAAACAAAGGGGCUACAGGCCCCAUGCAAGUCUGAAAUCCAAUAGGACAGUCAUUAAACCUGAAAGCUCCAAAAUAAUAUCCUUUGAUUCCAGGUCUCAUAUCCAGGUCACACUGAUGCAAGAGGUGGGCUCCCACAGCCCUGGGCAGCUCCACCCCUGUGGCUUUGCAGGGUAGAGACCCCCUCCCUGCUGCUUUCAUGGCUGCCAUUGAGUGUCUGCAACUUUUCCAGACACUCAGUGCAAGUUGUUGGUGGAUCUACCAUUCGGGGGUCUGGAGGACAGUGGCCCUCUUCUCACAGCUCCAUAAGCAAUGCCCCAGUGGGGACUCUGUGUGUAGGAUCUGACCCCACAUUUCCCUUCCGCACUGCCCUAGCAGAGGUUCUCCAUGAGGGCUCCGCCCCUGCAGCAGACUUCUGCCUGGACAUCCACGCAUUUCCAUACAACCUCUGAAAUCUAGGCGGAGGUUCCCAAACCUCAAUUCUUGCAUUCUGCACACCUGCUGGCCCAAUACCUCAUGGAAGCUGCCAAGGCUUGGGGCUUGCACCCUCUGAAGCAAUAGCCCGAGCUGUCCUUGGCCCCUUUUUGCCAUGGCUUGAGUGGCUGGGAUGCAGGGCACCAAGUCCUGAGGCAGCAUACAGCAAGGGAGCACUGGACCUGGCCCAGGAAAUCAUUUUUCCCUCCUAGGCCUCUGGGCCUAUGAUGGGAGGGGCUGCUGUGUAGGUCUCUGAUAUGCCCUGGAGACAUUUUCCCCAUUGUCUUGGUGAUUAAUAUUUGUCUCCUUGUUACUUAUGCAAAUUUCUGUAAGGGGCUUGAAUUUCUCCCAGAAAAAAAUGGGUUUUUCUUUUCUAUCACAUCAUCAGGCUGCAAAUUUUCCAAAAGUUUAUUCUCUGCUUCCUCUUGAAUGCUAUGCCACUUAGAAAUUUCUCCUGCCAGAUACCCUAAAUCAUCUCUCUCAAGUUCAAAGUUCUACAGAUCUCUAGGGCAGGGGUAAAAUGCCACCAGUCUCUUUGCAUUGCAAAAGUGAAGUUUACUCCAGUUCCCAGCUAGUUCCUCAUUUCCAUCUGAGACCACCUCAUCCUAGAUUUCAUUGUUCAUAUCACUAUUAGCAUUUUGGUCAAAGCCAUUCAACAGUCUCUAGGAAGUUCCAAACCUUCUCACAUUUUCCUGUCUUCUGAGCCCUCUAAGACUUUAGGAAGUUCCACAUUUUCCCACAUUUUCCUUCUUCUUCUGAGCCCUCCAAACUGUUCUAACCUCUAUCUGCUACCCAGUUCCAAAGCUGCUUCCACAUUAUCAGGUAUCUUUAUAGCUGCACCUCAUUCUACCAAUACCAGUUUACUGUAUUAGUCUGUUCUCACACUGCUAUAAGCACAUACCUGAGACUGGGUAGUUUACAAAGAAAAGAGGUUUAAUUGACUCACUGUUCCAAAGGGCUGAGGAGGCCUCAGGAAACUUACAAUCAUGGUGGAAGGGGAAGCAAACACGUCCUUCUUCAUGUGGCAGCAGCAAGGAGAAGUGCCUGGGGAAGGAGGAAGCCCCUUAUAAAACCAUCAGAUCUUGUGAGAACUAACUCACUAUCAUGAGAACAGGAUGGGGGAACCACCCUCAUGAUUCAAUUAUCUCCACCUGGUCUCUCCCAUGACACGUGGGGAUUAUGGGAACCACAAUUCAAGAUGAGAUUUGGGUGGUGACACAACCAAACUAUAUCAAUCAGUAAACUCGACAUAGCUGAGGAAAUAACCAGUGAACUUGAAGAUAGGUCAAUAGAGAAUACUCAAAUUGAAACAGAAAAAGAAAAGAGUGAAACAAACAAACAAAAACCAGAACAAAUAUCCAAGCGCUAACAUAUAAGUGAUUCAUAUCCCAGAAGGAGAAGAAACAGAGAAAAAAAAAUAUAUAUAUGUAGAUACAAUAUUUAUUUGUAGAUAUAAUAGCUAAUAAUUUUCCAAAAAUAAUGAAAGAUAUCAAACCACAGAGCCAAGAAACUCACAGAAUCCAGAAAAGAUUAAAUGCCAAUAUACAAACACAACAAAGAAGCACAUGCAAACACAACCUAAUAUAUCAUAUUCAAAUUGCUGAAAACCAAAGAUAAAGAGAAAAUAUUGAAGGCAUCUAGAGGAAAAAGGCACACUCCCUACAGAGGAACAAAGAAUUACAGAAGACUUCUCAUCAGAAAUUAUAUAACCAGAAGAUAAUAGAGUCAUAUCUUUAAAAUGCUGAAAGACAAAAAACUGCCAAUCCAGAAUUCUAUACCUAGCAAAUACAUCUUUCAAACAUGAAGGAAAUACACUUUUUCAGAUCAAAAAAAAAAAAAGAGAGAGAGAAAAUUCAUUACCAGUGGACGUUCUGUAAGCAGAAGAAAUAUGAUACCUGAGAGAAACUUGGAUCUACAUAAAGAAAUGAUGAUCUCUGGAAACAGAUAGAAUAAAGGUAAAUAUAAGAGACAUUGUUUCUCAUUUUUACUCACUUUAAAAGGUAACUGCUUUACUAAAGCAAUGCAUUGUGGCCUCAUAGCAUAUAUAAAAGUGAAAUGUAUGACAAUAACAACAGUAAAAAUGAGGAGAUGGAGGAAUGGGAAAUAUGCUGUUAAAGGGUCCUUAUGAUAUAUAAGAAGUGGUAUAACAUUAUUUGAAGAUAGACUGAUUAAAGAUAUAGUAAAUUCAAUAGCAACCACUAAAAAAAUUUUUUUAGAGAGGUGUAAGUAACAAGCCAAUAAUAGAAAAUGGAAUCAUAAAAAUGCUGGAAUAGGUAACUAUGUGAGAUGAUGGAUAUGUUCGUUUGCUUCACUAUAGUAAUCACUUUACUAUAUCUAUGUAUUCCAUAACAUCAUGUUGUAUACCUUAAACAUAUACAAUAAAAUUUAUUUUUUAAAAUGA
Molecule: long non-coding RNA, 7578 nt
Filed under: Homo sapiens (human)
Lineage: Eukaryota; Metazoa; Chordata; Mammalia; Primates; Hominidae
Description: HSALNT0401274
Source: RNAcentral